RNAcentral lists this transfer RNA (73 nucleotides) under Dermatophilus congolensis. It matches the Rfam family "tRNA". Rfam says of the family: Transfer RNA (tRNA) molecules are approximately 80 nucleotides in length. Their secondary structure includes four short double-helical elements and three loops (D, anti-codon, and T loops). The record is from Rfam by way of RNAcentral. Lineage: Bacteria; Bacillati; Actinomycetota; Actinomycetes; Micrococcales; Dermatophilaceae. RNAcentral also lists the same sequence under 1 other name.
GCGCCAUUAGCUCAAUAGGCAGAGCAGUUGACUCUUAAUCAAUUGGUUCGGGGUUCGAGUCCCUGAUGGCGCA